GAUGAACGCUGACAGAAUGCUUAACACAUGCAAGUCUUUGGCGAAUCUGUGCUUGCACAGGCUAGCCAAGGCGGACGGGUGAGUAACGCGUAAAGAACUUGCCCUGCAGACAGGGAUAACAGACGGAAACGACUGAUAACACCUGAUACAGUUGCCGGCACGCAUGUGCCUGGCAAUGAAAAGAGAUGCUGCAGGAGAGCUUUGCGUCCUAUUAGCUUGUUGGUGAGGUGACGGCUCACCAAGGCGAUGAUAGGUAGCCGGCCUGAGAGGGUGAACGGCCAAAAGGGGACUGAGAUACGGCCAUUACGCCUACGGGAGGCAGCAGUGGGGAAUAGUGGACAAGGGGGGCAACCCUGAUCCAGCAAUUCUGUGUGCACGAAGAAGGUUUUAGGAAUGUAAAGAGCUUUCAGAAGGGAAGAAGAAAGUGACGGUACCUGCAGAAGAAGCGACGGCUAAAUACGUG
Molecule: ribosomal RNA, 463 nt
Filed under: uncultured bacterium
Lineage: Bacteria
Description: partial 16S ribosomal RNA
Rfam family: Bacterial small subunit ribosomal RNA
Source: RNAcentral